RNAcentral lists this transfer RNA (102 nucleotides) under Leptospira kirschneri serovar Mozdok. Its description in RNAcentral is "tRNA-Arg". The record is from RNAcentral. Lineage: Bacteria; Pseudomonadati; Spirochaetota; Leptospiria; Leptospirales; Leptospiraceae.
AUCUCAAUCAAAAAGUGGAUCCUUAUUUACGUCCGGUUUAUGACGCUUUGGGAGAAUGUAUCGGAGUAGAAAAAACCCAAGAGUAUAUUUCUUUAACUAAAA